RNAcentral lists this ribosomal RNA (427 nucleotides) under uncultured bacterium. RNAcentral describes it as "partial 16S ribosomal RNA". It matches the Rfam family "Bacterial small subunit ribosomal RNA", at positions 355 to 774 of the family's 1533-position model. The record is from RNAcentral.
UGGGGAAUAUUGCACAAUGGGCGCAAGCCUGAUGCAGCCAUGCCGCGUGUAUGAAGAAGGCCUUCGGGUUGUAAAGUACUUUCAGCGGGGAGGAAGGCGAUGUGGUUAAUAACCGCGUCGAUUGACGUUACCCGCAGAAGAAGCACCGGCUAACUCCGUGCCAGCAGCCGCGGUAAUACGGAGGGUGCAAGCGUUAAUCGGAAUUACUGGGCGUAAAGCGCACGCAGGCGGUCUGUCAAGUCGGAUGUGAAAUCCCCGGGCUCAACCUGGGAACUGCAUCCGAAACUGGCAGGCUUGAGUCUCGUAGAGGGGGGUAGAAUUCCAGGUGUAGCGGUGAAAUACGUAGAGAUCUGGAGGAAUACCGGUGGCGAAGGCGGCCCCCUGGACGAAGACUGACGCUCAGGUGCGGAAGCGUGGGGAGCAAACA